This 72-nucleotide transfer RNA is filed under the name Rhizoctonia solani AG-1 IB. RNAcentral describes it as "tRNA-Pro". It matches the Rfam family "tRNA". From Rfam's summary of the family: Transfer RNA (tRNA) molecules are approximately 80 nucleotides in length. Their secondary structure includes four short double-helical elements and three loops (D, anti-codon, and T loops). The record is from RNAcentral. Lineage: Eukaryota; Fungi; Basidiomycota; Agaricomycetes; Cantharellales; Ceratobasidiaceae.
GGCCGCUUGGUCUAGUAGUAUGAUUCCUGUUUUGGGUACAGGAGGUCGCGAGUUCAAUUCUCGCAGCGGCCC